Molecule: transfer RNA, 74 nt
Filed under: Phrynosoma platyrhinos (Desert horned lizard)
Lineage: Eukaryota; Metazoa; Chordata; Lepidosauria; Squamata; Phrynosomatidae
Description: tRNA-OTHER
Source: RNAcentral
AGCAGUGGGGCAUAGUGGUUUGAGCGUUGGACUAUAUGACUCUGGAGACCAGGGUUCAAUUCCCAGCUCGGCCA